GUCCACGCCCUAAACGAUGUCAACUAGCUGUUGGGGCCUUCGGGCCUUAGUAGCGCAGCUAACGCGUGAAGUUGACCGCCUGGGGAGUACGGUCGCAAGAUUAAAACUCAAAGGAAUUGACGGGGACCCGCACAAGCGGUGGAUGAUGUGGAUUAAUUCGAUGCAACGCGAAAAACCUUACCUACCCUUGACAUGUCUGGAAUCCCUAAGAGAUUGGGGAGUGCUCGCAAGAGAACUGGAACACAGGUGCUGCAUGGCUGUCGU
RNAcentral lists this ribosomal RNA (264 nucleotides) under uncultured bacterium. Its description in RNAcentral is "partial 16S ribosomal RNA". It matches the Rfam family "Bacterial small subunit ribosomal RNA", at positions 793 to 1055 of the family's 1533-position model. The record is from RNAcentral.